This 1417-nucleotide long non-coding RNA is filed under the name Podarcis muralis (Common wall lizard). Its description in RNAcentral is "lncRNA (ENSPMRG00000019546.1)". Lineage: Eukaryota; Metazoa; Chordata; Lepidosauria; Squamata; Lacertidae. The record is from RNAcentral.
UCAAGCAAAACACAAAGUGAGAAAUCUCCUGUUUCCUCACAGCAUCAGCCCCCCUUGGCCAAGAUAGAGCCAAUAAAAUACAUAGACAUACCCAGAGCUGGGAGCCUCUUGUUGCAUGGGGUGGGGUUCCCACACUCAGUCUCUCUCUCACACACAGCUGGCCCUCCAGCCCCAGCUCCCUUGGCUGAGCUGGAAACACAAUUCUCAACGCAAAGCACACAAAAAGAGAUAGAGACAAUAAAAUACAUAGACAUAUACAGAGCUGGGAGCCUGUUGUUCCCUGUGGGGGGGUUCUGUUAUAAAAAUUUAAGGUCUUAGAUAUAUAAUAAAUGUUCAUAAAUGUAUCAAUCAAACACGUACAUAAAUAUAUAAACCACAUGUCCAAAACAGCACAGGAAGACAGUCCUGAAAUCAUUUUGACUCCCCAGCUGACCAAAUGUUUCUCUGCAAGGAAGGAGGAGGUGAAAAAACCUAUCUGAGGAUGUACGAAUUCCAACGCGCUUUAGUUCUGGGCUGCUUCACUCCUUGCAUGAAUUUUACCUGGGUGUCGGGCUGUGUGCGCAAAAGCCAAAACCCCAUUUCCCCCCGUAACACAGGAGUCACAGAGUCCAAGCCACUGCUCAACGUGCACCAGUACCUAAAACACGGACGGAUCUAAUCUCGUGGCGUGGGGGAGGGAGGGAUUUUGCAAUGUAAACAUUUGGGGUGCGAGACCCCACUUUGCGAGUGGAUUGCCGGGAUCAGCCCCUCCCCCGCUCUCUUGAUCCCCAGAAGAAAGAAGGGAGGGGGAAAACCUUCCUCUCCCCACCCCCAUUCCUCCCCUCCCCUCCCGGCACAUCCUUCUCUCACCCCGCCCCCACUACCCCAAAUCCCACCCCCAUACGUUGCACCUCCUCCUCUCUUCCUCUUCCUCGCCAUCCGACUUCUGUUCCGGGAGUGGGGAGGGGGGGAAAGAGCCCCCUCCCAAAUUGCCUGCUUCUUCCCUCAAGUGGAGCUUCUGCGCCGGAUUCGGGCUCUGCGCCGCAGCUCUAGGGGCGCGCGCUUUCGGAAAGGGAAGGAGGGGCGGCAGGUAAAUCCCCCCCACCCACGUGGAUGUUGCAGGAAAGGAAAGGAGAAUCGCGAGCGAGGACAAAGAGGAUCAGGAUCCUCAGGAGCGUGUCCUGGCGGCCGGAUUAAGGUAAAUUCUGGCAUGAUUGGAAGGGGCAUGGCCCCACCCACCAGGCUAAGCCAUAAUUUUAUGGCUUUUCUUUCUGGGCAGGGGGCCAGCUAGGCCGUGGGGGUGGCCUUCUUGUUUUUUGUGGCAGCGGGGGGGGGGGGGGGCAUGGCUCCCCUGACGACGCCAUCCAGCCGGCCAUUUCCUUUCUUGUUGGGUGUGUGUGUGUGUGUGCGUAAGUCAGGCCGUAUGUUUACUCAUGUU